This 222-nucleotide ribosomal RNA is filed under the name uncultured bacterium. Its description in RNAcentral is "partial 16S ribosomal RNA". It matches the Rfam family "Bacterial small subunit ribosomal RNA", at positions 15 to 228 of the family's 1533-position model. The record is from RNAcentral.
GAUCUGGCUCAGGAUGAACGCUGGCGGCGUGCCUAAUACAUGCAAGUAGAACGCUGAAGGAAGGAGCUUGCUCUUUCCGGAUGAGUUGCGAACGGGUGAGUAACGCGUAGGUAACCUGCCUGGUAGCGGGGGAUAACUAUUGGAAACGAUAGCUAAUACCGCAUAACAGUAGAUGUUGCAUGACAUCUGCUUGAAAGGUGCAAUUGCACCACUACCAGAUGG